AACCCCUGCAUUCAGUUGCCAACGGUAAGGCCGGGCACUCUGGAUGGACUGCCGGCGACAAGCCGGAGGAAGGUGGGGAGUGACGUCAAGUCAUCAUGGCCCUUAUGUCCAGGGCGACACACGUGCUACAAUGGCCGGCACAGCGGGAAGCGAGGGGGCGACCUUGAGCGGAUCCCUCAAAGCCGGUCUCAGUUCGGAUUGCAGUCUGCAACUCGACUGCAUGAAGUUGGAAUCGCUAGUAAUCGUGGAUCAGCCAAGCCGCGGUGAAUACGUUCCCGGGCCUU
This 284-nucleotide ribosomal RNA is filed under the name uncultured Thermovirga sp. Its description in RNAcentral is "partial 16S ribosomal RNA". It matches the Rfam family "Bacterial small subunit ribosomal RNA", at positions 1100 to 1382 of the family's 1533-position model. The record is from RNAcentral. Lineage: Bacteria; Thermotogati; Synergistota; Synergistia; Synergistales; Thermovirgaceae.